Molecule: non-coding RNA, 122 nt
Organism: Gossypium raimondii (Peruvian cotton)
Lineage: Eukaryota; Viridiplantae; Streptophyta; Magnoliopsida; Malvales; Malvaceae
Source: Rfam
AAUAGGAGAAUGACAAAUCAUAUUUUUCUUCUUGAUUUUCAGUUUUUUCCUCCUGAAAAAAUUCAAAUCCAACUAAAAUGCUAAAAAUCAAGAGGAAAAACUUAAUUUGUCAUUCUCCUAUU